GUCUACAGCCAUACCACCCUAAAUGCGCCCGAUCUCAUCUGAUCUCAGAAGCUAAGCAGGGUCAGGGCUGGUCAGUACUUGGAUGGGAGGCCAAACUCCAGCACUGCAAAAA
RNAcentral lists this ribosomal RNA (112 nucleotides) under Castor canadensis (American beaver). Lineage: Eukaryota; Metazoa; Chordata; Mammalia; Rodentia; Castoridae. The record is from RNAcentral.